Molecule: ribosomal RNA, 507 nt
Filed under: uncultured bacterium
Lineage: Bacteria
Description: partial 16S ribosomal RNA
Rfam family: Bacterial small subunit ribosomal RNA
Source: RNAcentral
AGUGAACGCUGGCGGUAGGCCUAACACAUGCAAGUCGAACGGCAGCACAGGAGAGCUUGCUCUCUGGGUGGCGAGUGGCGGACGGGUGAGUAAUGCUUAGGAAUCUGCCUAUUAGUGGGGGACAACAUCUCGAAAGGGAUGCUAAUACCGCAUACGUCCUACGGGAGAAAGCAGGGGAUCACUUGUGACCUUGCGCUAAUAGAUGAGCCUAAGUCGGAUUAGCUAGUUGGUGAGGUAAAGGCUCACCUAGGCGACGAUCAGUAGCGGGUCUGAGAGGAUGAUCCGCCACACUGGGACUGGGACACGGCCCAGACUCCUACGGGAGGCAGCAGUGGGGAAUUUUGGACAAUGGGCGAAAGCCUGAUCCAGCCAUGCCGCGUGUCUGAAGAAGGCCUUCGGGUUGUAAAGGACUUUUGUCAGGAGGAAAUCCCUAGUGCUAAUAACACUGGGGGAUGACAGUACCUGAAGAAUAAGCACCGGCUAACUACGUGCCAGCAGCCGCCGUAA